CUAAUUAUCUACCAAAGAUCAUUUCUUAAGUAUGUGUCGCAACGGUAUCCGAUUCUAUUGAGCGGAUCAACAACAUCACGAUGAUGUGAGAUUGCGUUGAGUCCUGACCGUGAAACAGGUUUUUCUCUAUCGUUCGUUUCUCGCCUCUAACGAAUGUGAGAAAUCUAUUGAGGAUCGUUCUUAAGAGGUUUAAUAAAUUCUUAAAGAGGGACUCAAUACUUUUUGAGUGAU
This 231-nucleotide small nucleolar RNA is filed under the name Octopus bimaculoides (California two-spot octopus). Its description in RNAcentral is "small nucleolar RNA U3". It matches the Rfam family "Small nucleolar RNA U3". Rfam says of the family: Small nucleolar RNAs (snoRNAs) are involved in the processing and modification of rRNA in the nucleolus. There are two main classes of snoRNAs: the box C/D class, and the box H/ACA class. U3 snoRNA is a member of the box C/D class. The record is from RNAcentral. Lineage: Eukaryota; Metazoa; Mollusca; Cephalopoda; Octopoda; Octopodidae.